AGCUUUCUGAAUCCGUGCCGAGAUUUCGUCAGACACUAACUCAUUAGAGUUGGUCAGACUUUCAAGAUAAGUGAAGUU
Molecule: non-coding RNA, 78 nt
Organism: Schistosoma mattheei
Lineage: Eukaryota; Metazoa; Platyhelminthes; Trematoda; Strigeidida; Schistosomatidae
Source: Rfam